UGGGGAAUAUUGCACAAUGGGCGCAAGCCUGAUGCAGCAACGCCGCGUGAACGAUGAAGGUCUUCGGAUCGUAAAGUUCUGUUGCAGGGGAAGAUAAUGACGGUACCCUGUGAGGAAGCCCCGGCUAACUACGUGCCAGCAGCCGCGGUAAUACGUAGGGGGCUAGCGUUAUCCGGAUUUACUGGGCGUAAAGGGUGUGUAGGUGGUCUUUCAAGUCGGUGGUUAAAGGCUACGGCUCAACCGUAGUUAGCCUCCGAAACUGGAAGACUUGAGUGCAGGAGAGGAAAGUGGAAUUCCCAGUGUAGCGGUGAAAUGCGUAGAUAUUGGGAGGAACACCAGUGGCGAAGGCGGCUUUCUGGACUGCAACUGACACUGAGGCACGAAAGCGUGGGUAGCAAACAGG
This 403-nucleotide ribosomal RNA is filed under the name Verrucomicrobiota bacterium. RNAcentral's name for it is "Verrucomicrobia bacterium partial 16S ribosomal RNA". It matches the Rfam family "Bacterial small subunit ribosomal RNA", at positions 355 to 776 of the family's 1533-position model. The record is from RNAcentral. Lineage: Bacteria; Pseudomonadati; Verrucomicrobiota.